GUUUAACUUAGGACCAAAGUUACAGCGAGCUAAGAUUUGGUUAUAAUGACUUCGGUAAUAAGAGUCAGUCAGCGACUACUGUACUCGGUUUAGAGACACUGCCGUACCUGUUGAUUAUAUUCUACCUACUGUUCCAUUACCGAAUGGGAAACACGUGUUUAAAGAGAGAACGCCCGCAUAUGACCCCGCAUACAGGAGUCAUAUGCGGCGAUUUUCUUUUUCAGCGGGAUGAAAAAGAAAAUCCCCGCAUUUUCGGGCACCAUAACGGGGAGUGUUAUGGCGGGAGAACGGGCCCCUUCAAAGCGCUUGUGACGGGUCUGGAUUCACGAGCCCUUCUUUUUCCUGCUUAAAUAGAAAAUCCGCGCAUAUUACCCCUGUAUGCGGAGGCAUAUGCGAGGACAUUCUUUGUAAACACAAGCCCUUAUCCAUUUAUCAAUGGUAAAGUAAGGACAUUUGCAUAUGCCGAAGCCAUUUUUGAGCUACAUUUGCUCGCCUAAUAUAUAUUUUUAGUGCACUAAACGGUUAUUUGCGUAACAUUGGCAUAACGAUUUAGUGAUAAUGGGCCAAUGCCAAUAGAUUUGUUUUUCUCAUUAUCAUGUAUUUUUAUAUGAGAACAUUUUGUGGCGCGUCUAACGUUAUAUCGUUUGAUGGCCCUUAAAUGUUAUGCAUGUAAGAUACAACGAUAGGUCUUUGUGGCGUGAUAAAAUCGAUUUGCUAAUUGUUGAUGUCUUACGCCGCAAUAUAUUUCGUGCUAUUAUAUUAAGAAUAAGCCUGUUCAGUUGCAUUGUUGAUGGCGAAAAAUGAAACCAGUCCAAAAUAUUGUCUUCAAUUGAAGCGGCUUCAUUUUAUAUCAAAGAAUGCAAUUAAAGAGAGACUAGUUUAAGAGUACCCUUGUAUUAAAAAAUAUGAUCGAAGAAACAAAGCAUGCUGUUUCAGAUAGAUAUUUAAAAUACAUGUAUAUUUUACUUUUUCAAAACCACUUCGUUCAGGUUCGAUUGCAUCCCUCGAACGUUAUCGAGUUCAUCCAAGACAGCACUUUUUAUAAUCUGUUAAAGAUAUAUGGUUGUGUGGUGCUGUGUAUGUAAGUCUUGCUUUGUAUAUAUAUCCAGCGUGUAAAGCAAACGGUUUCUGUAAUGGACUAAUUUGCUUACAUGUAGGUGGUGGAACGCUAGGGUUUCCGACUGAAAAGUAAAUGUCGAUAUGCCCUCAGAACUAAGCUGUAAUGGAGGAAGCCUCCCCGCCAUUGCAGGCCCUGUUCUCAUGCCGGAUAUAGU
This 1274-nucleotide long non-coding RNA is filed under the name Androctonus crassicauda. Lineage: Eukaryota; Metazoa; Arthropoda; Arachnida; Scorpiones; Buthidae. The record is from RNAcentral.